GUAAAAGAACACAGUCUGCAGUGUACUUACAUUCCAAGUGGCAGUAAAGCUAAUAAAAAAGAAAAACAAUUGGCCGUUCUAUGAAAGUUUACGCUUUUUAGUGCCAACAAUAAAUUAUAGAAAAACUAAAAGUAAUAUUGAAAACGUACAUCCAAAUGUACUAUCACCUUCAGCAGAACAAAAAGAGGAAUUUAAUUUUUCAUCUGUUCCUGGUGUGAGCAGCAGAAAAGAAAAUAAUAUUUCACAGCAAUCAAUAUCACAAAGUACCAGUAGUUUACUAAAAUCUCAAAACUUUCAGUCAAAACAAAUUUCUUAUCAAAUUCCGCAAAUUCUGAUAUUCUUAAGGAAGAAGAGCUAGUAUGUACAACAAAACGCAAUAAUAGUGCAAGAUCUACUCCAGAUUCAGAAGCUUUGCUUCAUUCACCUUUACCUCCAAAACGCAUAAAGAAAUCAAAAACAGUUGAAAAUAUAGACACCCGUUUAGAACAGGCAAUUUUGAAAGAGUUGGAGCAAAUGAAAC
Non-coding RNA from Linepithema humile (Argentine ant), 520 nucleotides. NCBI's taxonomy places the organism in Eukaryota, Metazoa, Arthropoda, Insecta, Hymenoptera, Formicidae. The record is from RefSeq and is a predicted model, not a curated record.